GAAAAGAAGCUUCCGCAACAAGCUCAAGAAGAGGGGUACUAACAAAGUCACAGAUUCAACAACUGUUAAAGAGAGGGCACUGGCAUGAGGAUACUAGAAUGCACUAAGUAUGUAAAACAGCAUCCUCCAAUGACAAGGUGAAGAACAUUAUGGGCCUCUGCAUUUAAAAGGUAUUAGUUGUUGCAUCUAAAUGGCUCACAGUAUAUGACACUCAUUUAACGCAUCCUGCCAUUUCUUAAGGAUCAUGUAAUUUCCAUGAAGCCGACUUCCAUAUCAGAGUUAGAAUUAAUGCAGACAACUAUUUUUGUAAUGAGCAGUGUCUUAUCCAAACUUAGUUUCUGGAAUGGCAUUUUCCCAUCAUCUUUUAAGGUAUCUUAAGUAUGGAAAAUAUCAAUAGUGUGUCUGCAUGUGUCCAAGUUCCUAGCAAAGUUCAUGAUUGUGGGAAACGUUUACAGGAGCUGUUGGUUUACCUUCGUUCCUAUAAUUUUUUUUUCAUGUAAAUUAUGAGCGAUUGUAUUGCUCUCUUAUUUUUUCCUCAGUACUUAUAACUGUAGCUUAAAGAUUCCAAGCAGCGAGACCUAUCAAAUACCACAGAUUUGUUUACAUGUAUACAUUGUUGAUGGGUACAUUUUAAUAGACUCGGUUAAUU
Non-coding RNA from Vigna umbellata (rice bean), 649 nucleotides. NCBI's taxonomy places the organism in Eukaryota, Viridiplantae, Streptophyta, Magnoliopsida, Fabales, Fabaceae. The record is from RefSeq and is a predicted model, not a curated record.